AAAGGAGCAAUCCGCUUUGAGAUGGCCUCGCGUCCGAUUAGCUAGUUGGUGAGGUAAUGGCCCACCAAGGCGACGAUCGGUAGCCGGACUGAGAGGUUGAACGGCCACAUUGGGACUGAGACACGGUCCAGACACCUACGGGUGGCAGCAGUCGAGAAUCAUUCACAAUGGGGGAAACCCUGAUGGUGCGACGCCGCGUGGGGGAAUGAAGGUCUUCGGAUUGUAAACCCCUGUCAUGUGGGAGCAAAUUAAAAAGAUAGUACCACAAGAGGAAGAGACGGCUAACUCUGUGCCAGCAGCCGCGGUAAUACAGAGGUCUCAAGCGUUGUUCGGAAUCACUGGGCGUAAAGCGUGCGUAGGCUGUUUCGUAAGUCGUGUGUGAAAGGCGCGGGCUCAACCCGCGGACGGCACAUGAUACUGCGAGACUAGAGUAAUGGAGGGGGAACCGGAAUUCUCGGUGUAGCAGUGAAAUGCGUAGAUAUCGAGAGGAACACUCGUGGCGAAGGCGGGUUCCUGGACAUUAACUGACGCUGAGGCACGAAGGCCAGGGGAGCGAAAGGGAUUAGAUACCCCUGUAGUCCUGGCAGUAAACGGUGCACGCUUGGUGUGCGGGGAAUCGACCCCCUGCGUGCCGGAGCUAACGCGUUAAGCGUGCCGCCUGGGGAGUACGGUCGCAAGAUUAAAACUCAAAGAAAUUGACGGGGACCCGCACAAGCGGUGGAGUAUGUGGCUUAAUUCGAUGCAACGCGAAGAACCUUACCUGGGCUUGACAUGUAAUGAACAACAUGUGAAAGCAUGCGACUCUUCGGAGGCGUUACACAGGUGCUGCAUGGCCGUCGUCAGCUCGUGUCGUGAGAUGUUUGGUUAAGUCCAGCAACGAGCGCAACCCCUGUUGCCAGUUACCAGCACGUGAAGGUGGGGACUCUGGCGAGACUGCCCAGAUCAACUGGGAGGAAGGUGGGGACGACGUCAGGUCAGUAUGGCCCUUAUGCCCAGGGCUGCACACGUACUACAAUGCCCAGUACAGAGGGGGCCGAAGCCGCGAGGCGGAGGAAAUCCUAAAAACUGGGCCCAGUUCGGACUGUAGGCUGCAACCCGCCUACACGAAGCCGGAAUCGCUAGUAAUGGCGCAUCAGCUACGGCGCCGUGAAUACGUUCCCGGGUCUUGCACUCACAGCCCGUCA
This 1184-nucleotide ribosomal RNA is filed under the name uncultured bacterium. Its description in RNAcentral is "bacterial SSU rRNA". It matches the Rfam family "Bacterial small subunit ribosomal RNA", at positions 202 to 1399 of the family's 1533-position model. The record is from RNAcentral.